Molecule: non-coding RNA, 526 nt
Organism: Cinara cedri
Lineage: Eukaryota; Metazoa; Arthropoda; Insecta; Hemiptera; Aphididae
Source: the annotation of a GenBank genome assembly
ACAAAAGUUAGCACGAAUAUCGAUUUUUCGGCUCGGACUUUGCGCUAGUCACAUGAGGUACGUACUGCAAGAUAUAAGCGAUUUACGGUUUCGUUAUGAUGAGAACGAUCGUUGGAAAAUCACGUCGGUAGUUGUUAUAACAAUAAGUAUCACUCGUCUUCAAAACUGAAGGGACAAAUACAAAAGUCACAAUGUGAACAAGGAAAGGUAUGACUGGCAAGGUGAGGAUCGCUAAGUCCCUAUAAGAACGAAAGAGAGUUGAAUUUUGGUCGGUACGUUGAGAGGAGAGAAUCGUAAAGUAGCCCAUAUACUACAAGACGAAUAAAUUAUAUGAUUUCUUCACAGACUCCUACUAUAAGUUUUACAAUUUCUAGUUAUGAUUUGUGCGUUAUCCCGUAUGUAAUAUUACUAUAUUACUAAUUUAUUUAUAUACCUAAUUGUAAUUAAAACAUUUUAAAUAAGGCUUACAUAUUAAAAAAAAACUAAGACGAUUUUGUUCAAAACUACUUGAUAUUAAGUACUAAUG